GACGAACGCUGGCGGCGUGCUUAACACAUGCAAGUCGAACGGAAAGGCCCUGCUUUUGUGGGGUGCUCGAGUGGCGAACGGGUGAGUAACACGUGAGUAACCUGCCCUUGACUUUGGGAUAACUUCAGGAAACUGGGGCUAAUACCGGAUAGGAGCUCCUGCUGCAUGGUGGGGGUUGGAAAGUUUCGGCGGUUGGGGAUGGACUCGCGGCUUAUCAGCUUGUUGGUGGGGUAGUGGCUUACCAAGGCUUUGACGGGUAGCCGGCCUGCGAGGGUGACCGGCCACAUUGGUACUGAGAUACGGCCCAGACUCCUACGGGAGGCAGCAGUGGGGAAUAUUGCACAAUGGGCGGAAGCCUGAUGCAGCAACGCCGCGUGCGGGAUGACGGCCUUCGGGUUGUAAACCGCUUUCGCCUGUGACGAAGCGUGAGUGACGGUAAUGGGUAAAGAAGCACCGGCUAACUACGUG
This 468-nucleotide ribosomal RNA is filed under the name uncultured bacterium. Its description in RNAcentral is "partial 16S ribosomal RNA". It matches the Rfam family "Bacterial small subunit ribosomal RNA", at positions 28 to 507 of the family's 1533-position model. The record is from RNAcentral.